GGGGUGAAAGGCCAAUGAGUGGUGGGAAGGAAAGGGAAAGAAGCUUCCAGAAGGCUAGGGGUAAGAAUGCAGCAGUGAACAUGGUUCCUGCACUCAUGAAGCAAAUGUAUCCACUGUGGUACAAAAGAGACUGUAAAAAACAAACCCAAAUGGACAACAGACCCCAACUCCAGUUUAAAAACGCCACCACUCAACAGCCUGUUUUCUGAGCCUAUGACCACAUAUAUGCUGCAGAACCCUUUCAGGGUGUAUCUGAAACUACUUCUCUUAAAGGCAAGCUGUAACUGGUGCCAGAAAAGACAGAAGCUGAUUGAGGUCCCAGCUUGGUAACAGUUUGAAGAGUUGCAGGACUGGCUGGAUGAGUACUGGCUGCAGCAAAUCAGGCUGCCAGGAUUCUUUAUGGCUGUUUCUGCUUCCACUACAGCUGAGUCAGAAAGGUCGCUGCCCCGUGGUGGCACUAGACGCAGUGGACCUGGCAAGCAAAUGUUUCCGCUAUUAGCUCUCAGCAACAGAGACUCAUUUAUGGUCACCUUGGAAAUCUGGGCUUAUCGAUCUACAGCCCAAGUCUGCUGAGAAGCUGGAGCUUACUAAAGGGGAAACCUGAGAGCUGUUCAAGCCCCAAAUAUUUUCCACUUCUGCGUCACCUCUGCUGUCUGUUAGCAGAGUGGAGGAGAAAAUACACAGCACAAACAACGUGAAAAAAUAGUUACUCUAUUCAUUAAAAGCUGUAACUUCCAGAUUGGACUUGAGAAGCAAUUAAGCAACAGAGGAACCUCAUCUACUAUCUGUAUUC
Molecule: long non-coding RNA, 793 nt
Filed under: Homo sapiens (human)
Lineage: Eukaryota; Metazoa; Chordata; Mammalia; Primates; Hominidae
Description: DOCK8 antisense RNA 2
Source: RNAcentral